Molecule: ribosomal RNA, 489 nt
Filed under: Pseudomonas sp. CL4.128
Lineage: Bacteria; Pseudomonadati; Pseudomonadota; Gammaproteobacteria; Pseudomonadales; Pseudomonadaceae
Description: bacterial SSU rRNA
Rfam family: Bacterial small subunit ribosomal RNA
Source: RNAcentral
CCCAUGGCUCAGAUUGAACGCUGGCGGCAGGCCUAACACAUGCAAGUCGAGCGGAUGACAGGAGCUUGCUCCUGAAUUCAGCGGCGGACGGGUGAGUAAUGCCUAGGAAUCUGCCUGGUAGUGGGGGACAACGUUUCGAAAGGAACGCUAAUACCGCAUACGUCCUACGGGAGAAAGCAGGGGACCUUCGGGCCUUGCGCUAUCAGAUGAGCCUAGGUCGGAUUAGCUAGUUGGUGAGGUAAUGGCUCACCAAGGCGACGAUCCGUAACUGGUCUGAGAGGAUGAUCAGUCACACUGGAACUGAGACACGGUCCAGACUCCUACGGGAGGCAGCAGUGGGGAAUAUUGGACAAUGGGCGAAAGCCUGAUCCAGCCAUGCCGCGUGUGUGAAGAAGGUCUUCGGAUUGUAAAGCACUUUAAGUUGGGAGGAAGGGCAGUAACUUAAUACGUUGCUGUCUUGACGUUACCGACAGAAUAAGCACCGGCUAA